UCUCCCUCAGGGGUGGCUCUUCUGCAACCAAACAGGACCAAAUGAAGUUUCAGAAAUAUGGAGAUAAAAAGACAAAAAGCCCAUCACCAAGAAUGGGAGCUGUCCCACGCCACUGACAUCUCGUUGCAAAGGCAGAGAAUUCUACCUGAUUCAGCCUGGGGCUGACAAAAAUCAGGCUGACAUCAAACAGAAGUCUCCUUCAUGGCAAAUGCCUCUGUUGCUAGGUCACUUGUGACAUCAGGCUGAUACUAGGUAUACAAAAAGAAAUAGCUUCCCAGUUUUGCAGUUUUCCCACACUUCAGUGCUGGAUCAGAUGCUCUCUGGCUCUGCGGUGUAUGCACAGCAAACGUGCAGACUGGUUUGCUUUUACUUUUGACAUCAAAGGGAGCCAACCCCAGACUCAGUCGGUACAGCUGGGCGGGGUUCCACAGGAGACGCGAGCACGGCAGUUCUAAUAUAAUGACAUCGUCUUCUGCUGACAAGGAUGACAACACAAUGAGAACUCAAGACAGGAAACUCUGAGCCUGAAACACCGAUGCAAAACUAUGGGAACCGACAGCUAAAGGCUACGGGAACCCACUGGACGUGCUGGCCUGGCCUCUGGCCUGUCCCAAGGGCGGGGAUGAUUCUGCCUCUGAGCGCCACUCUUGGGUGGGCCUAGCUCCGUCUGCGGCUGCUCAGAAAAUCACGGCACGUGUCAUGGUGUGGUGAACGAGGCAAGAGCUUCUCCCUCAUAAGCCAGCUGCACGAGCGAAGAACACAUUCACCAGCCUUCAAGAGCACCUUCCCAGGGAGGAUUUUAAAAUUAAUCACAGGGGAAGUUUACUGAGUUCUGUCAGGAAAGCCUUGGGACAGCACAUACGGGUGUUACUUUCUAAGUGGGCAUCCAGUAAAUAUCUCAGAUUGACUGCCCCUUGAGAAAAAGGUUGUUAUGUGUAGAUACAUGAGAAAUACGACUACAUUGUCAGGAGUGACUUGAAAGGGAAACUUGUUAACCCUGAAAAACAAACGUGGGAGAACGCCAUGCUUAAAGAGCACUUCCGAUGGGUGACGGCACUUUGCAUUAUGGUCAGGAGGCACCAGGCAGCUGAAGGUCUGCUCUGCAGACCGGCCUCUCCCCAUAAAGGCAGUGCAGCUGUCCGGCACUCUCAGCAAGGGUCAGAACUGAUAGGCCCGUCCUCUGCGUCACACCUUCCUCACAGGAUACCACAUGGCUUUUCCAAAACACCGAUCAGAAGGCAUCACCGGAGCAUCUGUCUCUGCCUAAAAGAAAGAGCAUUUCGGCUGAUGUGUAACAGACUACAGCAGGAAAUCAGGAGCAACAGCUGCUUGCUGACUUGCAUUACUGAAAUAAAAAGGGACGAACGUGCAUAAAGAUUUCCUGAAGGGGCCUGUGAAAGGUACUUCACGGAAACUGCUUCCGUUCUCAAGGGGAGUCCACACAGAGUACCAAUACUUCUCCAACAUGGAUGAGUAUGUUUAUACUGCCCUCACAAAAUAACU
This is a long non-coding RNA of Chinchilla lanigera (long-tailed chinchilla), 1503 nucleotides long. RefSeq lists it as uncharacterized. NCBI's taxonomy places the organism in Eukaryota, Metazoa, Chordata, Mammalia, Rodentia, Chinchillidae. The record is from RefSeq and is a predicted model, not a curated record. The transcript is spliced from 4 exons.